RNAcentral lists this long non-coding RNA (26469 nucleotides) under Setaria viridis. RNAcentral's name for it is "long non-coding RNA (SVIR_LNC002527)". The record is from RNAcentral. Lineage: Eukaryota; Viridiplantae; Streptophyta; Magnoliopsida; Poales; Poaceae.
GAGGCAGAGAUCAACGAGCAAUACUCAUGGAAAUCAUGGAUGCAUGAUAAUGUCGAAUUUUGAUAAUAUGCCACAAUUCCUCUGUUUAGCAUCGCAUUACUCUAGCCACCUGCAAAAGUAAAUCACCUAGCCACGUUAGCGUCACUACCUGCCUAGCGCCUAGUUUUUUUUUUUUUUUGAAACAUUGUACACACCCAAACUAUCACAGUUGGCCGGCAACAACACACUGUUUGGGAAUAAAACUGUGGCAGCAUUCUGCAGUAGUGACCCAGCACGGCUUUGUCUCUCAUGCAGACUAACUCUGCUGCCCUAUACAUAUAACUCUGCUUCACAAUGUAUGUCCAGUCCACAUACUUAGGAGGCAUAGAAUUUUGUUAAGAUUAAAUGGAAUUAUGUCAAAUAUGUACUCGUUGGGUAGAUCGAUUCAUCUAUCUAAUAAGACUAGAAAUGAUAGAAUUUUAUAAAUAUUUGAUUACCUGACAUACAAAUCUACAAGACAUCUUAUAUUAUGACCAGAGACUUAGCAUUUCCAUUUUACACUGAUCCUUUAUGUCAUAACAAUAUCAUAUUAUUACAAUGUAGUGAUGUACAGAAGGCCCAAGUGGGAGCUAAUGCUACAAACUAGUGUGGUGCUAUAAUCAACAAGCUGCCGGAUAUGCAUGGGCACCUGCCUAACCAUGAAGGUGAAACUUUCCUUCUGUACAUGAAAUACCAAGACUUCAUCAUGAAGACUUGUUUAUUUUAGGACAAAUAGGCAUGAUGAUAGGAUUAUUCUAUGUUAAAUUUAAUGAAUAGGAAUAGGACAUAAUACGAUGAGCUCACAGCACACCAUUGGAUUGCAGUGAGAGAACAACCUUGUCAUCUCAAAACACGAGACAUCAAAACACAAGACAAAUUAUAUUCUUGAGCAUAAUGAACCUCAACUGGACACUGUGAAAUGCCUGUCACUACAUUUAAAAUGAACAAAUUGCAUUGUGGUGUUGCAGAAUCAUUGUAUAUACGUAUCGUGGCAUUUGAUAUGGAAGAUGCUUCUGUAAAAAAAUGUUUUCUCCAAGUAUUUCACAUCCAAGGUAUGAUAUUUGCAUCCUCCUUUCUCACAUUGUGUCAUGGAUACUUUGCUUAUCUUUAAAAAAAAUGUAAAAAAUAUUUCUCACAGGUAACAAAUAUAGAACAGGAGCAUAAUGUGUAUAUGAUUUUUUUUAAAAAAAAGCAAUCAUGCUCAUGGGUAAUGAACUUGUUUACGCUCAUUAUAUUCGUGUUAAAACUAAAAAUGAACAAUGAGUUUUAUUUUUCAAAAGAUAAGUCUCACACAUACAAAUGCUGAGAAAACAGUUAUCUUUAUUGACAUUUGGCAGCUACAGAAUUUCUGUCUUGAGUAGGCCAAGAUUACUCUAUUCAAGACUGCCUGGUAACAAAAUUCAGCAUACAAUUGAAAAAAAAAUUCUGCGGUGAACUGGAACAUAAACACAACAGCAUAAAAUCAGAUCAAUCCCGUUUAACUACAUUUCAACCAAAUUUAAAUUUAUACUUGUAAUCACCAUUUCCUUUCUAUGGAGAAUGCAUGAAAUGAAUUUACUAUUUAACACAUAAUUCCCUGGAGGAAUAUUAUGCAGUUGGAACAUAUGCAGUAAUUAUCAACAUGUAUCAUGGGAUCUUUGAAAGUAAUGUGUCAUUGCUUGUUUUGUAAAGUUGUUUCAGGCAUCAUUUUGUUCACUAUUUUAGCCCAAGUCCACAUUUGCUGGGUUAUUUCAUUGAUUCCUGUCACUUGCAUAUUGCUGUUGUUUAACUGGUAUAAGAAGAUCGUUCAUUCUCUUCUGCAAUUAUUUGGGUGCAAGGAACACCAGCAAUGUCUCAUUUGCAGAAGUCAGGAUCGAAUCCAUCUCAGUCGUUUCUUCUGCCCAUAGCAUUGGGAAGAAUUUUUUUUUUUGAAAAGGCAUUGCGAAGUUAAAAUUGCAUGUUCGUUUUAGGCAAGUCGAACACAUUGUGCAAUCAAAACAUAACAAAUAGAUCGUGCCUCCUCAUUGUAACACGGAGUUGGACGGAUUAAAUCAACAAGAAGCAAAAAAACAAAAAAAAAACCUUCAAACCGCGAGCAAGCCGCGAAGGAUUGGAAGGUGAGGGGGGAGCGCGAAUCGUUCUCCUCGCCGUGGCGGCGGACGAACUCAUCCAUCAUUACGGCGAGGAUUUUUAUCACAAUACCUUGCAGAGAUUGGCCCCGGUGGCCCACGAAACGCGCCUGGGCCGCCUGGACCCCAUCAUUACUUGGCACUCCCCCAAACCGAUCUAUAGGCGCGGGAACCCUAGGCGGCGGGGCGAUGCGGCGGCGAUCGAAGGGGCGCAAUCCGGAAGGCUCUCUGCUGGUCCGGACCCGGGAUCGGGGUCAUCUAGGGUUUCCGCUCCCCCCGCCUCCUCCCCGUCCUCACCGGACCGCGAGGGGGUACGGUGACCUCGCGGGAGGAUGGCGAUAGCGGCGGCGGCGGCGGGAGGGUGUGGAUUUGGAAGGGGGCGAUGAGACGGGAGGUGGUGGUGGUGGGGAGGAGCAGGAGGAUGUGCUGGCGUCGGCGCCCCCCCUUUUGUUUUGUUGGCUUCUCUCUCUCUCGCCCCCUCUCGUCGUCGCGUCGAUUUGAUUUGAUUUGGUUUGAUUUCACCCCCUUUCUCUCCGCGAUUUCCCACCGUUUUCUAGGAUAAUGGGUGGUGGUGUGGGGGCGGCCUGGUUUGCAUUAAUAAAUUUCGGCGGUUUCUGCGGCUUUUCUUCCAGACUCCAGAGAAACCAGGCGCCCCUGUUGUUGUAGGCAGGCAGGUCAUGUGACUGACGGACGGCCUCUCCUUUUUCGAUCAUGGUUCCUGUAAUUUUUUAAGCCGGUAGAUUAGCGUCUCCUUCGAGGAGACGUAUCAGAUGCCAACUCUUCUUUAGAGUACUUCUCUCGACAGACUCUGGUGAUGUUUAGCUUGGAUUUUUUUUGGAUUUUUGUAUAAUGACUUCUAGGUUUAAAAAUACUUUGGUGCUUUGCUGUUGACGGAGGAUAAACCGUGUAAUUGUCUCUGCAUCUAACCUCUUUAUCUGUCCAAUUUGACUCAUGUAGAUGUGCUACGCAAGAUGGCAGGCCUAGGUGCAGUGCAGGCACUCAAACCGUCAAACGCAUCAGCAGCCAUCAUCACAAUGACCAGGCAACCACCGUGCAGUUCAACUAACCCAGCACAUCUGAUUGCUCAAGGAUUACCUCGUGAGUGCCAGUGACAAUGGCAUGACAUGACGUGACAUGCUGGUAUCAUGCAACGCAACACAGUGUACUUUCUAGAAUGACGCGAUAUAUUUUCUUAGAUAGAUCCAAACUUUAUUUUAUGUAGUUCAGGAAACAAAAUGCCGCCCUUGCAUACAGGCUCACCAAACUGAUCAUAUUGUUUCCAGCUGAUUCUCAGCAAAAGCAAACCAUGCACACUCAGCUACAACUCAUGUAACAAUAUCUUUUCCGUUCAGAUGACACUAAUAAAAGGUUGUUAGAACUGACGAAGCAAUUGUAUUGUACUUCCGUCCAAAAUAUAGUUAAUAUUUUUAACUUUGACCACCAAUACCUAAAAAAUUCUAAUUAAAAAGUUAUAAUAGUUGGUUUUCAAUAUAAAUCUACUUUUGUUCUCUAAACGUAUAUUCUGGGACGGAGGAGUAUGCUAGAAAUGGUCGUGUGUUCCAGAAUUUUAAGACCAACCGUGGCCAUCACCGUACCACAUAAAUUGCAUAAUCCAGCUUCUAGAGUAUUACACCAUACAGUUGAACUACUUAUUACAAAGCAUAUCAGGGGGGUGUAUCCUCACAUCAAUAUCAAAUCAUAAACACAAAUACAAAGCUGCUGCCUCAGGCAACCUACUCUCAGCAUCAGUGCGACAGAACACAAACACGCAGCCAGUAGAACCCAGCAACUCCCUCUGCUCCAUCAUCUCUUCUUAAAACCAUACUUCUUGCGCUCAUAGAAGAGAUCAGUCUUUGCGCUUCCAAGAUUGACAAUCUUCGGACAACCAUCCCGGUCCUUCUCCUGCUGGGUACACUCCUUGCAGUAGUAGGCGUCUGAGAUGCCGACUCCUCCACAGAUCACACACCUUCCCUGGAAUGAGCCAUAGUUGCACUCGUCGCACACCCGGACAAGCGUGCAUGGACGCACGUAUGAGUCGCAAAUGACACACUUGCCAUCGCAUUUCUCACAGAGGCGACCGAUCGCAAUGCCGGGCUGCUUCCGGCACAUGAUGAGAUCAGGAUGAUGCUUCGCCAUUGCUGUCGGAUGCUAACCUGCAAAAAUCAUCGUAGAAUAGUAUACAGGUAAGAAUCAUGCGAUGCUAUAGUUUGUUAGCAGCUGGGAGAACAAGCACAGGAGCAAAAUUUCGGUGAAAUGUCAACAAUUUCUUAAUUCAAUCAAUUAUACAUAUAGCUGUCCAUAGCACUAGGAGAUUUUGGUGAGCAUCUCCUAGAGGAGCAAACUUUAGUGUGGUGACCCAAGAUUAGCAAACAGCAGCUCAACUAUUCAUCACUAAGACACUAACACUAAAGCUCUUUUCAGAAUUGCAUCAGGUGUCCACAAGGUUUGUCAAUUUUAAUAAGAAUAUCUCACAAAAGAAAGAUGAAGACUGCUGAAUACAUGUAACUUAUAGGGCAGAUUGACAUAAACACAGCAAGUCCAAGUCCCACCGAAACUACAGUGCAAUCUCACCAUGUCUGAUGUUUUUGUGAUAUCAUAAAAACAACAUAUGACAUGGCAUAUAGUUGUGUGUGAAACCCUGGCAUAGCACUAUCUCAUUGCACAACCACCAAAGAAUAAAUUUAGUUAUGGUUUAAAAAACUGGAGCCCCGAAUGCCAAUGCAACUCUGCAAGCUACACCAUCCGUGUCGGCUACACUAACCAGCUGCAAUACAAGUUUGAAUACUACAAUGCAUUUCUACACUAAUUUCAAAGUUUGAGGCUGCCUGCAGGCUUAGCAUUUCCAAUUGGGCUGAUAACCUAGUUACGCAAUCUAUUGUUACUGAAGUCACAUGUAAACACCCAAACAACAUACAGCACUAGUGAAUCUAUCCACUAUUGCUUAUGCUUCCCACUGUAGUCAUGCAGCAUCAAAACAUGGAUACUAGUAAUUAUUCACAUCAUCAUCAGGCAUCCCAACCAGCAUCAAAACACUUCUCAUGCUUCCCCCCUCCCCCAUCGUUCCCCACCUGCCACGGGCCAGAGCCCACACAACUUGGAGCGAAUUGCAGAGGCGAACAGCCGAGAGAGGAACAAGAUGAACUACGGCGCGCGGAGUAGCGGAAGCCCUAAAUCCCUCGUCCGCCGGAGGCAAGGUCAGCUGCCCUGUCACAGGCUAAUCGACGGAACGCCUACUCAAGCCGCUUCAAUUCUAACACGGAAAAAGUUCUACUCCAGAGCUCACGUACCUCCUGGGGGUAGGGGAUGUGUCCUGUGCGGUGGCGCUCCGCGUUCCUCGAAGGCAGCGGGCCGAGAGCUCGAGACGACGGCGACGAGGAAGGCGGCGGACGGAGGCUAGGGCUUGCGGCAGCGGCGAGAUAUAUUUGGGCCUUCCCGGCGGCGGCCGAUGCUGCUAGAAGCUUAUAGAUGCCACCAAGGGAUCUUCGUUCAAACCCGUCCUCUUUCCAAUCGGACGGCUGUCGACUGGGGAAGCGGGACCUCUCGUUUUGGGACACUGAGACUCUGGCCCCACAUGUCGGUCUCACAGAUCUCAGCGUCCGGCGCCCUUUUACCCCUUCGUUCCGGCCGAGCUCGCCGUCGCCGCCGUUGUAGGGCGACUUCGACUUCCGCCGCGUAGCUCCGCUAUAGGGCCUGAGGCAAUCGUUCCCUGCGGCGGCGGGUGAGAUGGAUUCGGGCUCCGGGAAGCCCGAAGAGGUGGCCGCCUACCAGAGCAGCGAGGCCAAGCAGGCGAGGUUGCAGUCCAUGCUCGCCGCGCUCCUCGACGACCCUAUACUCGCGGACGUCCCUAGGAAGCCCUCUCUCGCCGACGUCGACACGCUGAUUAACCUCGAGCUCGGCAGCGCCAUGAGGGUGACCGUUGUCAAGUUGGACAACACCUCCUUCGGUACACCUGAUCCCCUUCAGACCUUACAUUCUGCUCACCUUUUUUUUAAUCUCAAAUUACCAUUCCAGUAGAUCAUUUAGUCCGAGUAUCCUGCCUUUUUAAUUGAACUCGAUUACAUAUCUGCUUCUUUUGUCCCUGUGAAAGAUAUCGCAUUGUCGAAUGCUGCCACGGUCAAGGAUCUGAAGUUGGCUAUCAGGAAGAAGAUCAAUGAGAUAGAACAAGAGCAGAUGGGGCAUCGUCAUAUCUCAUGGUAUGGAAACAAUCUUUCCUGUGGACCAUUGCAUGCUUCUAAGUGGUUUAUGAUGCGCAUUGCUCUUUGUAAUGCUUGUUACCUUGGCAUCAAGGCUGGGUUGUCCUAGUGGAUCUUUACUAUGUGAUAUCUCAUACAAUGGACCUGAGCAAUUAGGUACUACCUCCAAGUAAUUCUGGCUGGAGAUAGGACUAUGUUCCAUAGUGUAUACACUACAUUAAGAGACAAAAACUGAAGUUUAUUUUGAUUUUUAGUUUCAUUUUGCACUGAGGUUCACCUGGUUAGUUUUUUCUUCUUAAUUUAACAGGGGAGGCAUGGUCUUCUUUUUUAUAUUACCCUUUAUUAUAGUAAUGGUGCGUGUACAGUAAGGAAACGGAGAAUACCUGUUUGGGCUUGAAUAGUUGAAUGCAUUUACAUAUGGCAAACAAGCCCUCUGCACCAUAGGUUUUUCUUUUUCAGUUGGAACCUAGGGAAAAAAUAUCUUUCCAGGAUUGUUUCGUUCUUUUGAACUAAGUCUGCUGUGUACACACAGAAGUUGCUGGCCUAAAUUUUGGCUUUCAAUUAUUCUGAAGGACGUAUGCAGUAUUUUCUACACCGUCUACUAGACAAAUACAUGGUAUCCUUGGUUCCUAGACUCUUGAAGCUUUCCGUCAAGCAUUUUCAGGGGCCUUCCAAAGUGGCAAAGUAUGAUCCCAUUUCCAUGGUUUCCACGAAGCCUUUUUUCUGAUAACAUUUGUACCGAACAAUAUGGACAGCAGUAGUCACUUGAAAGAGUUCCUCAAAUUAGGAUUAGUGCUCCUAAAUUAACGGAAAGUGCGGUCCCUGUUAUUGGAGUAGUAUGAGGAUUGCAUUGCUGUUAUGGAUAACUAUAAUUUCUGGAUGGGACAACGAUUUUAUUUAUAUUCUACAAAUUCAGGGGGAAAUAAGGAUCCCAUAGUAAGUUUGUGCUGCCGUGCCUAUGUUCAAGCCCGAAUAUAUGUUCUGUUAGAAGGAAUAAGCAUAUAACUGAUCGUUGAUUCAUCCUAAUGAUGGUAAUUAGGUUCAGUGUUUGUGACAACGAUAGCAACAGCUAUUAAUGUAGCUUGACAAUAUAGAUUUGGAAAUUCGGAAGUUCAAUUAUGCUUUUUUUAGAUACGUUUCUUCAUUAUGCUAAUUAGGAGGGGUCCUAUAUAAACUUUUGGUUAGUGGCCUUUUGUGGAACCUUUUGUCUGUCAGUGUUUCUUAUUGUUUAGAUAAUGACAAUUCUGAACUCUACUUUUGCGUGUUUUGCUGAUUCUUGUGCUGUCAUACUAUUUCUGUUUGAUGCAGGAAGCAUGUAUGGGAUAACUACUGCUUGACACAUCAUAAUGAGAAGAUGAUAGAUGACAGUUCUACACUUUCUUCUCACGAUGUCCGUAAUAACUCUAAGGUAGCUCUUUUGUUAAAGAAAUACAAAGGUUUCUGGUUAUAUUACAGAAAAUAUCCAUGUUCAUUUCUGGAAGACUAAAUAAGUAGCUAAUGAAGAGUGUCCCACUUGCUUCUGUCAGGUGGUUAUAAUAACCAAGCAUCAACUGAGUACUAUUGCUAUUUGAUUUGACCUUAUCUCCCAGUUUUGUGUACCCCUUUUUUAGUUGUCAUCUGUUUCUGUAGUGUUUUAUCCUUAGCUCUAUGUAUUUGUCUGGGCCAUUAAUUGUGGCCAUUGUAGUCUCCCGUUUGCAAUACUUUUCUGUAAACUUUUGGAACUCAUAUAAGGUAGACUGUAGCCGCCCUAUCAAAAGAAAAUUGACCAUAUCUGCUCCAUGUAGGUCUGUUUCUCGCCACAUAUCAUGUCCAGAGUGCAUCGGAAGCACUCUAGAAGAAGAAAACACCGCUUCUUCCAUGGACUUAACAAGAAAUUGUGAUCGCAUCUCGUGAGUUUAAAGCUGGAGAGCAACAUCCUUUUCUCAUAGGAAGUAGUGUGGUCACUUCAAACUGUUAGUGUUCGGAAAGUUCUGUCAUUAAACUGGAAGCAUAUCUGAUGGAAGCCCUUUUUGGGACACGUGUAUUCAUGUUUAAGAGCUGAUCUGGUCGUGUAGCUUCUUGUGAUGUGUUAAACUGAUUUUUCAGUACUGUUAUAUAUUUGUUCUAGAGAAGUCUGAGAAAUCAUAAUCGACUCAUGUUUUACUUUACUGCAUAAAUUACUGCCUUUAUGCUGAUCUAGCAAAUGUGGAACGUUCUGAACUGAAAGUGUUCGAAAAGUUCUAGCUAUGUCAGUAAACUGGAAGCAUAUAUAUGUUCGAAAAGCCAUGGAACCUAUGAAUGUUUGCAACGCAGGUCAUGCAUGUAUUCUUUACUAGUUUAAGAUCUGCAUUGGUCGUGUAAGUUGUUUGGAAGUGUUCUAGUAAUUUUCAGUUUAACUGUCUGGGCUAGGAGAACAACUGUUCCAUGUUUGUCCUGGAGAAGUCUGUGAAAUCCACAAUCGGCUCAUAUCUUACUUAACAUUGGGUUCAAACACAUGCUUUGAGAGACAAAAACAAAGAAACCAAACCAAACAUAUGAGCUUAUAUGUACCCAAAUAAGAGCAUUUAAAAGAUACCAGGAGCAAAUGUCUUCACGGGAACUAGGGGACACUUUUUUGGUGCAACACUAGACAACAAGUUCAACAAAAAAGUGGUCCCGGGGCCUCACCCCUGAAAGGCUGAAACUGAAAAACUAGCAGUGGUAGAGAGACAUCACUCCAGCUGGGACUACAAGACACAAAACACGGCUGAGACAAUAUCAACUCUCAAGCCUCAACAGAACAGGUGAGCAGCAAGCACGGAAAGCAGACAGACAUGGCCUCAGUCCUUUUUCUGGAAGCCACAAAAGGGAGGGACAAGUUUGACACAAGUGUCCCCAGACACACAUUGCAGCCACCACCAGUCCACUACAAACUCACUGCACCACACUGUUGUACUGGAGCACACUGCAUGCAGUUGCAGCUGCAUUCCUUUUUCUUCAGACAUGAGACAUGCUUCUAUAUAUAUAAAUAUAUAAAUCCUUGAUGCUUCUAACAGCUAGCUACUAGCUUAUGACAAGGACAGGGUACUAGUAUGACUUCUACUUUCACCAGAAUUCAGAGACAUAAAAACUCUUGCAGACACAGGCAGAGGCAGGAGCAUUGUGCUCUUCCAGUGAGCUGCAGUGGCAGCUGAUGGAAGCUCUCACAUGGUCCCUGCAGGGUAAGGGGAGCACCAGGAGCUCAGGCUCAGCUCCAGGGAUGCAGUAGCCGCUGAUGAUGCGUCAUGGCUGCUGGGCGGCUGGCUGUUGGUGGUGUAAAAGCUGUACUGGUCUUGCAGCUGCAGCAGCUGGUGGUGUUGCUGCUGGAUCGUAACGGAAGUGGUGGUGGUGGUGGCGGUGGCAGCCGUGGCAGCGGCACCCCAGAACGGCAGGGUGGGGUAGCCGCUACCGCCGCCGCCGCCGCGGAUGGCGUCGCCUGCCGGUGCUCCGCGCCGCGGCCGCGGGGGCUGGACGUUGUCGCCAGUCGGGAAGAGAGGGAGCGUCUCGGGCGCCCGCGUCAUCGCCGGUGCCGCCGCCCACGAGUCCGGCGACGAGAAACAUGCCCACGGCGAGGCCGCGGCGCCGCCGGCGCUGCUGUCGUGGUGGCCGGCGGUGCUCCUCAUCACGCCCAUGUAGUCCUGCGCGCGCACCGUACGGACCCAAGAAUUAACAAUGUGGCGACACGGAUUGGGAGGGACAUGUCGAUCGAACCGAAGUGUGGACGAAGCGUGUACAUGCGCAAUUACGUACGUACCUGCAGGAAGCAUGUCUCGGUGGCCACGGCGGUGGUGCUGCCCCAAUCGGAGCUCGUGUCCAGCUGCAACGCCGACGCGCCGCCAUUGCCGGGGUACAAGCCCAACGGGGAGGAGGGAGGCGCCGCGCCUGAUGAUGAUUUGAUGCCCACAUGACAUGCACAAGACGCGACCAUCACAGUUUGCAAAUCACACGUUUUGAUCGAGCACGCGAAAUGCAAAGCAACGCGUACGUACCUGAAGGCGACGAGAGCGAGAGCACGCCGAGGUGGCCGACGUCGGCCGCGGCGGCAGCGGGGACGUUGACGUCGAGGUUGGUGAGGCGGCGCUUCUGGCGCUCGCGGGCCUUGUGGUUCUGGAACCAGUAGAAGACGUUCUUGCCCUCGAUCUUGCCGUGCUGGCGCAGCAUGGCGGUGAUGCGCUGGAUCUGCUCCGAGUUGGGCGACCGGAUGCCGCACCCGUAGUAGAGCUCCUUGAGGAUCCUGAUCUGCUCCGGCGUCGGCGUCCACCGCGACCCGCUGGCGCGGCACGCCGCCGCGCCGCCGCCGGUAGUGCCUCCCGCCCCAGCACCGCCGCCGACAACACUCUUUCCGCCCACAUUGGCCGCCAUGCCUUCGACCUCCUCCCACAACCCCUGCCUGCCGAGCUGCACUACUGGUCUUGUGCUUGGCUGUGUGGCUGUGAUCUCUAUGGCAAGUAUGGAGAAAGGGUUUGCCUUGGCCUUGAAGGAGGAGAGGCAUGAGGAGAGGGUUUAUAAGCAGGAGGAGGCAGGAGCAUAGAGCUAGGGGCUAGUAGGGGGCUAGGAGCUGCAUGCAGUGCUAGGUGCAUGGAGAUGAUAUAGGCUUAGGCUGGGGCUGAGAGGAUCAUGGGGAUACGAUAUCUUUUGGAGAGGGACAAGUGAAGUUGACACACGAGAGGAGGGGGUCUCUUGCUUUGAGCAGAGGCAGAGCUUGGCCGGCCGCUUCAAUUCACUUGGAACUUGGAAUAGAGGAGGGAGGAGCAUGUGGGGAGGACGCAGAGGGCGUACAAGGCCAGGAUCCCCUUGCGGCAACUGCUUCCUCCUCAGCCUAGCGUGGGGACGCAGGCCUCUCUUCCAGCUGCUGGUGCAAAGGCUACCCAUGCAACCAUGCCGUAGCUCUGCUCCUGCAUACUACUAGUACUAGUGCAUCAUUGCUCUUGCAGUUCAGUUGCUCUCUCUCUCUCUCUCUCUCUCUCUCUCUCUCUCUCUCUCUCUCUCUCUCUCUCUCUCUCUCUCUCUCUCUCUCUCUCUCUCUCUCUCCUGCGUGAUAGAAAAGGAACAAGCCGAGACGUGUUCAUGCAUGGAUGAUCGAGCUGGGUCUGGGGCAAACCAUAUGUGAUCGAUGUGUGACUUGAUGUGGCCGGCUCUUGUUGAAUUGUCUGCUUCCUCUGAGCAGUAGCAAUAUCCAGUUCUUUGUGAUCAGAUUGAUUGACCGGAAAUUUUUCCCCUGCUGCCAUGAAAAAUCUCAAGCAACACGCAAUUUAGAUCUGUUUUUGCAAAGAUCCUGGAAUUCUUGUGGUUCAGCACUGAAAAUCUGAAAUAGACUACUCAAUAAUUUGGAGUGCAGAUCAAUUAACAACUGCACGGCCCUUAUUCUUCACAAUUUCUUCAUCUCUAGAAGUAGUCCCUUGGAACACGAGGAUAUUCUGUCAUGAUUGCUCCAUGGACAGAUGAAGUCGUAUAGGUACGCGCUGUAGCCUGCAUCCAGCAUAAUAUUCCGGGCGCAUUGAACUAAACGCACACUUUUUUCAGUACCAAUGCGUGCGUACGGAGGUGAAGUCUGGCAAACGAUCCCAGCAGAUCGAUCAAGAGUUUCUGUGCAACUAUGUGGAAAUCUAUGCGUGCGUAUGCUUGUAGUUUAAUCACUUCCUGCUAUCUGUUCUUCGGUCACCUAAUCAUUAUCCGAUCAUUUUUUAUGAACUGGUGAAUGGUGAUCAUCUCAUGGCCAUUAUAUUUCCCAGCCAUGAGUUUGGUUAAGACUGCGGGUGUACACCCAAAUCGUAUCCUCUUCGAGAAUUUUUAGUGCUCCAUGCUUGUGCUUCGACUUUUUAGCGUAAUUUCCGACUGGAUCCUCCACGCCUCUACCACCCCAGUCGGUGCCCUUUCCUCCUCUUGAUCCCAUUUCUAUGCAUUCAACGAGUAUGAUCCUGUUUGGAUCCAUCCCAGCUAAACUUUAGCUAGCAUGAUAAUUCCGUUGUCAUUACAAAUGUCUUGAACCAUCCCUUCUUUCAUUUGUUAGAAUAAACCACGCCAUGGUGUUCGUGGCCGUGGCAUGUGUCGCGCGCGCGCAUAAGGAGUCUGUAGCAUAGCAUGUCCAUUGGUGUACGAGUUCGUGCUCGUGUUCACGUCCAGUGUCGACUAGGACGGCGUGUGUGUGCACUCACGCCGAUAGGACAAGUCAGGGUCAGGACGCCGGUGCGGCCGCGUUCCAAGUUGUAUCGAUCACGUUGUGUGGUGCAUGCUGGUUAGGAGCAGGGGUGGCCAAGUUGUUGAUGCUUACGGAAACAGCGGGAGAAGUGCCACUUGCCUCACGGAUAAAGAUGGUGACCGAUUCUUGCGCAGGGAGGCAGUUGCUCACGAACCGGAAGAAGCCGGGUCACCAGGAUCGUGCGUGCGUGGGCGUCGAGUCCACCGGAGUGGAGUGGCGUGGACGCUGCGUCGCCGAGAGGCUACAAAAGGCCAUGUAAUCUCUGUGUGUAAGCCGGUUCGAGUCCUCUUGAGUUGAGCAACAGCCAAGAUACAGGCCGUUCGACGGCCGCGGCGUUCGUCGCCAUUACCUGCUAUUUGUGCUCACUGUUCAUCUUCUACCUCCGUUCAGUGCGUGAGUAAUAGAUCCUCGGGCUAGUUCCAACAAGUGGUAUUCAGAGCUAAGGUGAUCGAAGAUGUCGUCCCUUGGGCCGAAGAAGCCACGCAUCGAUCUUGGCGACGACGACGGCUCUAGCAGCUCACCGCAUCCGGUCGCGGUGGCGAGCGCCACCACUGUCGAUUGCCGCUGCUGACCAAGACCGAUUACCAUGAGUGGUCCUUGGUUAUGCAUGUAUCCCUGGAGGCGAUGGAGCUUUAGGACACCGUGGAGGCAGUCUGCAAGGAGCGCGCUAAGGAUCGGCGGGCGUUGGCCGCCAUCUUGCGCGUGGUGCCGUCGGAGAUGAAGGUUGGGCUCGCCGUGAAGAAGUCGGCGAAAGGAGCAUGGGACGCGGUGAAGAAGAUGAGGGUCAGCGAUGAUCGCGUGAAGGCCGCGAGCGUGUAACAUCUCUUGAAGGAGUUUGAGAACGUCACGUUCAACGACAGGGAGUCCGUCGACGACUUUGCGAUGCCCAUCAACGGGCUUGUCGCCAGCCUGCGCGAACUUGGCGAAGCGAUGGAGGACAACCAUGUGGUGAAGAAGAUCCUGCGCGUGGUUCCGAAGAAGAUGAAGCAGAUCGCGGUGGCGAUCGACUUCAACACGACGUCCGUGGAGGAGGUCGUCGGCCGGCUGCGCGUGGAGGAGGAUGCCGACGUCAAAGAAGCUGCGAACGACAUCAGGCGGCUGCUUCUCACUGAGGAGCAGUGGGAGGCGCGUCGGCAUCAGCGCAGCGGCAAAAAGCGGGCGUGCGACAGUGAUCCACGCCAUGGCAGUGGCAAGAAGGGUGCUGGCCGUAGCGGCGGCCUUGACCAGGAAGACGACGACGAUGAUGGGGGAGCAACAUCAGUUCGGGCGCAAGCAGGCGCCAACGCAGCUCUGGCAAGGGCAAGUGCUUCAAUUGUGGUGUCCGCGGCCACUUCUCGAGGGAGUACCCCAAGCCAAGGAAGGAGGAAGCAUUGUUUGCCAACGCCAAUGAUGAGCCGGCGCUCCUGUAGGGCACGACGCGCGGCGGUGUCGUGGUUUAGGAGUUUGCUAGAAUAAACCACGCCAUGGUGUUUGUGGUCGUGGCAUGUCGCGCGCGAAGGAGUCUGUAGCAUAGCAUGUCCAUUGGCGCAUGAGUUCGUGCUCGUGUUCGUGUCCAACGUCAAGUAGGACGGCAUGUGCGCGCGCUCAUGCCGAUAGGAUGAGUCAGGGUCGGGACAUUGGUGCGGCCGCGUUCCACGUCGUAUCGAGCACGUUGUGUGGUGCGUGCUGGUUAGGAGCAGUGAUGGGCAAGUUGUUGAGGCUCACGGAAACAGAGGGAGAAGUGCCACUUGCCUCACGGAUGAAGAUGGUGGCCGAUUCUUGCGCAGGGAGUCAGUUGCUCACGAACCGGAAGAAGCCGGGUCACCAAGAUCGUGCAUGCAUGGGUGCCGAGUCCGCCGGAGUGGAGUGGCGUGGGCGCUGCGUCGCCGAGAGGCUACAAAAGGCCAUGUAAUCUCUGAGUGUAAGCUGGUUCGAGUCCUCUUGAGUUGAGCAACAACCAAGAUACAGGCCGUUCGACGACCGCGGCGUUCGUCGUCAUUACCUGCUAUUGUGCUCAUUGUUCAUCUUCUACCUCUAUCCAGUGCGUGAGUAAGAGAUCCUAGGCUAGUUCCAACAUCAUUCGGAAUUAAUCAUCAUCUAUAUGUUUCAAAUAAAUAUUUUAUCCAUCACCUUAAUUUGUUUGGGACAAGAUUUUCCAUUGUCCAAAUUAAUAACUUGGACAAGUUUUGAGAGAAAACGUGGAGUCUCCAUUCCCGCACAGAAUAUACCUUUUCCGGCCUAGCCAAGUAGCCAGCAUAUGAGCCGCCCCUGCACAGUGAUCCACAGUGCCGCGCAGAACCCUAGCAAACAGCUAGCUUGCUAGGUUACCUAGCAUUUUAACUGACUUGAUCCUUGAGCAGAUCACGAAAUCACCACAUCGCUGCGGCAUGGAGGACGCCUGUAGAAUGGGAAACGUCUCGUCAGUCAAGUAAGAGAAAGCACGCCGGUGGACUCGAAUCAACAUAAGAUAUCCAUUCUCAUGAUCUUUCCAUAUGUAAAAGUACCUUUUCAAAAAAAGCAAUUCAUAAAAGGUAUUUCAGUUUGUAACAAAGCAUAUGUGUGCACACAACUCUGUCAGAUAGGCCUUUUCUUUUGAAUGGCAGCCACGGAAGAUAGGAGUAACUUGUUUGUAUGAGAGACAAAUGCAUUGCAGGUGACUGUACUUGGCAGAGGAGACAGAACACAUGCAGGCAGGCGGUCCCCUUGUGAUAUUAUAUUCUCAGUGAUGCAAGUUUGAUCUCCUAUCUAGCUCUUCAUCUGAUCCUCACCCUCUCCAACAAGGAGCUGAAAAGAGGAGCAUGAUUGCUCUGUAGAAACUUGUCUCCCUCUUUUCCCCUUCCUUCCCUGAACCUAUCUGUCCCUAAAGAACUUAGGUCCUUCCUAUUUGAGGCCUGUUCCUUAGGUCUGCCCAGCAGCAGCACCUCCUUACUCUGAGAGAAAGAGAGGAGAGAGAGACAGACAGAGAGAGUGCAAAAUGCACUGCAUAUUUGUGAUCCCUGCAGCAAGGUAGUAGCAUGUGUAAACUUCAGUUAGGCCAUCAAGUGCUUCUUGUUUUGUACUGAUGAUAGGGAGAGGAGGGUGGAGAACAUCCCUGUGGCCACACCACACAUAGAAUGCUGGAAUGCUAGCUGCAACAGCAACGGCAACACUCGGAGAGAGGGACUGGAGUGGGAGAGCAGUUGCUAUCAGUACAAGCAGUCUAGCUUCAGGCAGUUAACUGAAGUUGAACUGAAGAGUCGUACCACCACCACAGCUCCUCCAGACCAUGAGUGAGAGACAAAAGCAAAGGCAAACAAGAUCAAAAGAUGAUGACUGAGAGAGCAGGUAGCGCAAGCAACAGGAAAAAGAGCAGGAGAGCCAUAAUUAAGAGAAGUUUCUAUUCUGGGAUGCUGGGGUUUAGAGCUGCAGGUUGUCUGUCAGGGAAACUAAUGAUGCCUUCCAGCAACCCCAAGCACCCAGCUUGAAAGAAAGAACUCUUCCUAGGUACUAGCUCCGAUUUGAAUGGACCGAUUUUAUGCCUACUGUGACAAGGCAUUUUAUAAUAUAUUCUUGUGCCCCUACUGUAGUAGUGAAUGUGAACUCUACCUAGCGGCUACCGGCUACCAAGACAUAACUUAAGAAUCUAUGAAACUGGAAGGUUUCCGACCAUGAACCAUCAACUGUAAUUUGAGCCAAAAUUAAAUUACACUGGAAAGCAAUCUAAAGCACAAAAAAAAUCCUUCGACAUAAAAUACAGAAAACACAUUAGAUUCCCAUGAAAUUCAGAAGGACGUGCAGCAAAGCACGGAGGAGAAACAUGACAGAGCAACUAAUAAGAAACGCAAGCAAGACAUCUGAAACUACAAGAGACAAAACUGACAAAAGACAGUAUUGCUACUCUACAGAGCGUAACGUACUAACGUGCAACUGUUUUGUGGAUGCCAUUUUCCACACAUCACAAAAGACUUGCCUUUCACAAGUUGAGCAGCAAAGGGCCGCAAAAUCUCCAGCAGCAGCCCUUUCUUUCCGGCCGAACCCUUGUACACGAAGUAUAAGGGCGUUGGCGGAUUUCGGACAUCAACGUGGCCACCAUUGCAUCAGCAGGGCAUCUCUCGGAGUUUUACCUCCUCUGGACCAAAACAAGAUCGGUCCAGCUCAUUUCAGGAACACCCGACGCCAUCAACUGGAACCUGACCAAGCAUGGAGAGUACUCCACAGCUUCGCCAUACCUGGCGCAGUUUCAAACUUCAACAUCCUCGAACAUGGAGCGCCUUAUAUGGAGGAUCUGAGCACCACCCAAGUGCAAAUUCUUCUUAUGGCUCGCUUAUCAAAAUAGACUCUGGACGGCGGACCGUUUAACCACGCUAGGAUGGCCUAAUCAAAGAGUAUGUAUGUUGUGUCACUCACAUGACGAAACCCUUUUGCACUUACUAACGAAAUGCCACUAUACUACUCGAGUCUGGGACAAAGUUUACGAGUGGACGGCUACACAUGUCCUGCCAAGAGGAGAUUUGACUACUUUUUCAUCGGUUAGCCAGUGGUGAUCACCAACCGGCUCAACGAGCGGCACCCCGCUAAAGGGCCUUAGAUCACUUAUCAUUCUAGUGUCUUGAGAAAUUUGGAAGGAACGCAAUGCUUGAGUGUUUCAACGUCAGUUCAAAAACGUCAGUCAACUAAUCGUGAAAAUCAAGGAGGAGGCACGACGUUGGAUUCUAGUGGGAGCCAAGCACUUGAGCGCUAUCUGCCACAUCGCCGAAUGAUCACGUUUCACAACGUCUUUUUAUAAUUUCUGUAUAUAUUUAUUUGGCUUAGACCUAUGUAACUAUCUUAUCUAUUAAUUAAUACGAGCCCGGCAAUUUCCGCGGGCCUACGAUUUAAAAAAAAGGGCGUUGGCGGAUGAACAGCAUCGGCAGACAGGAAGAGAAAAGCACCUAUCAAAUCGAGUUAUGGUAACCCUAGCUCUAGCGGUGGUAGCAGCUAGUAGGAUUUCGUGUUUUGUUCGGAGCGCCAAUCAUGGCGAGGGAAGAAGACGGGGCCGGGGCGUCCGCGUUGCGUACGUACCUUCCCGAGGCGGCUACACUGAAAACUGUAAGAAGCCAAUCCCUGAAUACUUAAGCCACCUCCGUCUCUAUCAUUUCUUGUCCUGCCGGCGACUACUUUUUUAGAGAUCUUUACCGGUGCCUUGUACCACUAAUGAGUGGUAUAAGGUAUAAAGAACAUCCAAGCCGUAAUCUGUGUUUAUAUUCACGAUUAUACCACAGAGGGAGAAGGAGCUACGUGCCCAAAUAAUUGAUGAAGCUGAAUUAUUCAGGAUAGCUUUCUAGGAGAAGAUGAUACAGAACUGAGACAAAUAAGGUCCACAACAGAGAAAGGGGGAAGGUACGUGAGAAAAUCUGAGUUAUUAGUGCAUUUAUCUAUAUCUGUAAUCUAAUUUAUUUAUUGCCAUGCUGCAGAUUUUUGUAUCCAGUCAGGAGAAAUUCCAUGCUAGCGUGGACAAGCAGUACUGCAAAUCGAUUUCAGAGCUCGUUUCACGAUUUUUUUUAGUCUGACAAAUUAAGUUCACUACAUGAUGUAUUUUGCUUAAUGAUUAGAUAUUAGCUAGUGUGUCAAGUACUGUUCUGCGCAUAUGAAGUGAGAAUCAUUCGCGAAGGGAAUAAUUGCUAAUGACAACAUGUGCAUAAAUCAUAUAUGCAGUACUUCAGUGAAACCUUAUUUAUGAACACGUACUGUACUCAUCUACAGAAAGCCAUAUCUUGUUGCAUAUGUACAAUAAUUACACCAUGACUACCAAGGAGUCACCCUUCCAGGACUGGACAAAGAGGCUCCCCAGUCGCUGAAGCCGACCUGUCUCGGAGGUUUCCGGCAGCAACUCAUCCGUCGAGGUACCUGAGAAGAAAUAGACGUUUAGUUCAAAACUGGUUUUCAGGACUUAGUACAAAGCUAUUUAAUAUUGAUUAUUUAUCUAGCAACUAAAGAUUCUGAAAAUACCUCUGCAUAUGAUACUUAAAUUAUAACGUUUGGCAGUAGUAGUGAAUGCAUCUUGACACAAUGUACCUAAGAAACUAGUAUAACAACAUUGUCAAAUUUGCCUCAGAGAACAGUAGUCUGGGAAAACAUAUAUUGAUUCAAUGGUCAAAUUCUACAGAAAGAGCAUAAUAGUGCAUUUGAUCCACACCUGGUGAGGUGACUGGUCUGCGACGUAUUUCAAAACAUCAAAGAAAACAGAAGCAGCCUUCUGUAAAUAAAGGACAACCGUAUCGGUGGUGGCUCGAGCUCUCAACUCAAGCAGAUUGCGAUUGAUUUCAUUCUCAUGCUGAGAAAUAUAUGGCCUAAAGAAAGUCCCAUAAAUGUAUGUAGUUCCCUGCAAUGAAAGAGCAUAUAUCAAUCCUAUGUACUAAACAUCUGUAAGGUAGAAGGUGCAUGGGACAAACUAAGUACCUUUGUCUUUGGGUACCACAAAUAUACAAAGAACAUCAGCUUUGCUUCUGAGUAAAAUGGUAGCCUUCAACAUGAGUGCAAAUAAUGUUAGGGACUCAUCAAAAAAACUGAAGGAAAUCACAACCUUAAGCAGUUUCACCAUGAUAUUGUAAAAUCUCCGAAUCUCUCCGAAACAGUCAGCAGGCAACUAAAAUCCUAGACAGAGGAAACAAAACUGAAUUUGGCAGAUUUCUUAUGGAAGCCAAUGUUGUGAACACAGAAAUUAUUAAACCACCUUACCAAUACUGACACCAAGACACCAAAAUAUGAGCUGCUCAAUCUCCGGUUUGUUCAGUUCUACAGUCUUGUAGCACUCAUAGGCAGGAUAGGCGCAGCCAAAGGCCAACCGACACGAAGGCAAUAUCAAACACCAGAAGAUAAAUGAAAUGUUAGUGUUAAAUUUCUUACCUCCGCUCGCGGCCUGCCGCGCGGGCCUCGCCGCCGUCCUCGCUGCUCCUGUGAGGCUCGCACGAGGCCGUUUACCCACCCUUCCCGCCGCUCCCGUGGGCCCACACAUCACCAAAUGAUGAGAGGUGACUAGGAGUGUGAAAGGAAGAGAGGUGACUGGGAGAGGAAACGAGUGAGAUUUCGAUUUCUAAUUUCUAAUGAAAUGCGUGUGAUUCCAAUAUUCAAAUGAAAUGAUUGAGAUUCCAAUUUAUGAAUAAGAUGAGGUGCUAUUUAUUAUUUUCCUAUAAUACCCUUAUACCACCUAUACUACUCAUAUAUACCAUCACCCAUACUACUUAUAUAUACCACUCAUACCACUAGUAAAAAUUGUAAAGAUUUUAGUAGUAUACUAAUCCUUUUCCAACACAGAAUAGCCUAAUGUAAGGCACGGGAAAAGAUCUCUUUUUUAAGCUGCUGCCGGUAGCUGCAGGGAUUUGUCCUCGUCACUUCAUCAGCUUGCAGCCAGCGUAAUCUGAAAAACCAAAAAGGAGUCACCAGAAGCUGCACACAUCUGCUCCGCAUUACCUGCACAUGUACCUCGAUCAGCUAGCAUAUAUGAUCGACCUGUUGCUUCAUCAAGCUAGCAUAGAUGAGAUCAGGAGAAACAAGCUCUUUCUCUUUCAGAUGGGAUCGAAUCGAUGCAGCUGAAAAGGAGGGCAUGCAUUUCCUGCAGGAAUAGCCGUGGAUAGGCAGCAAAGAAUCAAGGAGCAAUACUGCAUGCAGCACUACUGUUGCGUUGAGUCUGGGCCGGGGAAAUCUUUCAUGCUCGGAUUGCGCUGCAGAUCAGAAUUUGGGAGCAGCACGUGAUGGAUGAUUGAUCGAUGGAUGCAGGGAGCCGGGACAUGAAUUCUUGAUCCCGCGGCUGCGCCAAAGUUUGCGAGAUGAACAGCUCCCCCGGCCACCUGCAGGCUUCAGACUUUCAUUUGCAGGCUUGACGGCCGGCAGGCUACAUGCAUGGUCUCGAUCUCUCGUACUGUCCUGUCACCUCGUAUGCGUGUCGUGUGUAUCUGCGCCUGCGUUCCUUCUACUAAUCAUGGCCGCUGCCGAUCAGCGAGCAGGAUUCGUCGUCGGACUCCAGGCGAUCCGAAUCCUUUGUCGUGCACGCGUACCAAGUAAAGCAGACACGCAUAUGAAUCAGUAGAGAUUAAACAAAGCCACAAAGGUCGUCAGAGCAGAAAAACGGCCGGCCUAGAUAAUGUGAAUGGAAGGAGAAAGGUUCCGGUGAUCCAUUGCUUGGGUUGAACAAGAUAUCUUACUUGGGACUUGGGUUGAACCAUGAAUGGCUGAACUAAGCUCCAUGCGUCUACCGGAAAAUACCAUCCGAAGUUUUGUGGAGGUUGCCAAAUUGCACAUCUACCUUGUAAAGUUUCAAAUGGGAACUUAGAUUGAGUAUUUUUAAUUUUGAACUUCACGGGGAUAGAUACACAUUGUGGCAACCUCAUAAAAUUGUAGACCCAACAGUUCCUCGCAGAAAACAUAAAAAAAAAAGAAAACUCUAGAUCAGAAUUUACACCCACGGAGCCAAGAUUUAAAUCUCCCGCUAUAACUGCCGCUAUAGCUCGCUAUGGUACCACUGUUUACCCUCAUGUACAAAUUAGCCACUAUAUCCCGUUAUAGUCUCAUAUAGCGGAAUUAGCCACUAUAUCCCGUUAUAACCUCAUUUAGCUCCGCUAUAUCCGGCUAUUAGCUGUUUUAGAAUCGUACCGCUAAACUUCUUAGCCCUCUAUUUAAAACAUUGCACGGAGCACUAGGCUGUCUGACCCGUCGAGGGCCUAUAACAUGGUAAUACCAGUAACAUUAGAUAUCUUCUCCUGAUUGAAGAUGUUCAUAAGGUACUUGUGGUGGACUAGCCAUGGACACUGAAAUAGCUCGCUGCUGCAGCAGCCAGCCUGAACCAGCCUAUUGGCUAUUGUAGCCGCUGCAACUCUGCGUAGCGCCGAUCAGGCUGCAGCUGCUGCUUGGGCGUGCUGCGUGCACUGCAGCCGAGCGGCUGGUGCACUGGGCUGUACAGCACUACAGCUGUAGCAAAAGCAGAAAGCGAACACAUUCAUAAUCAUAAGCCAGUCUCGGUAAACAAGCCCAAGCCCAAUAAUUGAGUUGCAGCUGUUUGCUGCACUUGUAUCCUCUAAUCCCUUUGCUUUGCUAUCUACCCCUGAUUCCAGUUAUCCCAUACCGUAAACUGAUUCGGUAACUAUUGUAUCGAUCAGUUGCUAUUCGAAUUGAAGGUGGUGCUAACAAGAAGCCAAUUACCCUUCAAAAAAAAAAACAACAGGAAGCCAAUUGGAGUCAUGAAUGGGGCUGCACAUCUGAUAAGGCGCUUAUCUGAACUCUGUAGGAAAACUGAGCUUGCAAUGCAAUCCCGGCUCAUGCACAACUCACCUCCCACGGAGAACCUCGACGUCGGAGCUGGAUGAUUAGGGAGGACGCGCUGGCACCGGACUCCUCGUGGCGCAUUGGGUUUUGGCGCGCGGUUCCGUCCGCUGGUGGGUUCGCCGCCGGCCUCUCGACGUCACGUCACGAUGUGGGCGCGCUCCGAGUUGAGGCCACGUGCCAUGGAUGUGCUAUUGCAGUAGCGUCAGUCGUAGUCGGCCAGCGACCGGCAGCCGGGCGAGCCGAAGCGGGAGCUUGCUCGCUCGGGGAAACGGACUAACGAACUGAUCAGGAAAAGGCACCGAGAGCGCGGCAAGGACGGCGACCGUUCCCGGCCGGAGUGGCUCGGGCGCGACGCGAUCAACGUCUCACGCAUGAUGCGCUCGGUGCGACGGGCACGGGGCUCGCAGCGAUCGAACGGUAAAAAGCUUCCAGUGGCUCGCCGCCGCGAUCAGCAUUGCGCAUGGGUGAUGUCACGGUGGACAGGCCGUGAUUUGGGGGGCCGGCCGGCGUGCAGCCCGCAGCCAUGGCGCGGAUGCGACUUGUAUGGCCAACGGGCGAUAGGGUGGGAGCCGGGCGCGCGGGAGGAAAGGAACGUCUCAGUUUGUGAGCCGGCAGCCCGGCACGGCGCUCCGACGACCAUGCAAUGAGAAGGAACGUGGAGCGCUAGGGAUAGAGUCGCUGGUCACGUUCGCACGUGGCGCCAUUCGUUGCGCUGCGCGGCACCUGGAGCUCCAUGGCGGCCGCGGCGUCCGCCUUUCUCUCUUUCUCGUGUCCAACGAAACUCCAACCUUCGUCGACUUCGGGAACGGGGUGCGGAGACGAUCGGAGCGUAGAGGCACGGCCUGGAGGCGGGCUCGGGGGUGACCACCGGAGCCCCCACGGCCGCCAUCGCGACUUCGCGGCCAUGGCGGGUCCGAGAAGUUUUUGCACUACGACCCCUAAAAUGGAUCGCGACUAUUAAUCGCGAUCCAACUACUUUCAUAAAACACGCUAAAAUGGAUCGUUAUUAAUAAUCGCGAUCCAAAUAAUUGCAAAAAAGCCCCUGUUAUUUUGCAAAUGUACCCUUCUUUUUUUGCUGCAGUUCCUCCGUGCGUGUGCCCGCUUCCGCUCCGGUGACGGCGACGGCCGCUCGUCGCGACGAACUGGCCGGAGCGGCAGCUUGCUCGCUCCCGACGCAGUCGUGGCGUGAUGCGCUCGGUGUGGCGGGCACGGGGCUCCCGGCGAUCGAACGGUAAAUCGCCCGACGGCUCGCCGCCGCGAUCAGCAUCGAACGGGGGAUGUCGCGGUGGGCAGGCCGUGGUUUGGGGAGGCCGGCCGGCGUGCAUCCUGCAGCCGUGGCGCGGAUGCGAUUCAGAUGGAAGACGGGGACAGCAGGGUUCGCGCGCCGGGCGUGCGGUAGGAAAGGAACAUCUGGAUCAUUCUGUGCGCCGGCAGCCCGGCACGGCGCUCCGGCGACCAUGCGGUCUGGCAUUCCCUGUGCUGCCCGUGGCGGGUCUGAUCGGUGUGCCUCCUUGGAGAUGAAUGGUCAGCCGCGGAGGAUAUAAGCCAUGGACGACGGACUACGGAAGGCGUAGCCAAUCGCCAUUAACUUCUGCUUCUCCAUCGUUGCUUGCUGCUGAUAUUGGUGACCCAAACAAUGGCCACGGUACAUCCCUUUUUGCCGGAGGCAAAGAUGCGGAGAAAUCCUGGAUAAAAAAAAUCAUGGAGACUGCCAGUAGAGUGCAUCGGCAUGCUACAAGCUUUCGGCCUAUAACGAGGCCUCGAGAGGGAGAAAGGAAAAUGAGAAGGAGCUGCUUUGUAGGGACGGAAUGGAUUCAAAUACCGUCCACCCCUUAACCCCGAUCCGCUCCCAAUUUGCCAGUGCCAAAGUCACGCUAAAAUUCCAAGAAAAUUCACGAACGCUUGCAAUGCAUCGCCACUGCAUCUCACAAAAUUUCAGAUCCUAUUACGCGGUGCAGAGGGAGAACUGAAAAGGAGAAAUCGCAGUACGGGGUGGACGGUAUUUGAAAUACCGUCCACCCUAUGAAUCCCGAUUCGCCCCCAAUUUGCCGGUGCUAAAUAUACGAUAAAAUUCCAAGAAAAUUCAUGAACCCUCGCACGCUGUGCGGAGGGAGAAUUGAAAAGGAGAAAUCGCAGUACGGGGUGGACGAUGAUCAGCAAUUCUUAAGUUCAGUGUGUUCUCUGAAUUUUCGUGCCAUGCUCUUUCGCUCUUCAACUUGUUGAGAUUCAGAGGAACUGAAUGGACACACAAGAUUGAUUAUGCGACUGGCUGCUGAACUAGUAGAGUCAGAACUGGAUAUUUCCAUGUCUGAGUGUCGAUAAGAAUUUCAGAUUUGCAGGUCCAUUCAGAACGUGAAGUACAUCUUUUAGACCCGAUGAUGUUGCACAUUUCUGCAGAGCUGAAAAGCGUAUCAUCAACGGAUUGUUGCUAUUUUGAAUUAUAAUCACACCGAUCAACAGCAAUAUAUAGAUGCAAACGUUUCAAGUAUGUCGGUGACCAAGGAAGUGAGGAUAAUGAGAUGAAAACGCUCCAUCCUGUUCAUCUCUGAAACCCAAACAGAUUGUAACUGAAACUAAAGCUGCCACUACACCGCUCUGUUUGAUUCAAGUACGCUGUAACAUACAACCUGAAAUUGAAUUUCACCCGCCGUUUCAGACUUCCAGUGAUCGAAGUGCACGAUACAUGCCAACGCACAAGCCCUCCACCGCCGCCGCCGGCCCGCAGCUUCACCGUCCAAACCGCCGCCGCCAAGGCGAGGAGCGAUAGGGACAGAUUUGUUGAUCAUUGUUGGAACUGAUCAAAAUGGCCGGCGCCCCUCACGCACUCUCUGAUGUUUACACGCACGCCUAGCAAGGACUUCUUGCUAGCUUCUCUCGAUGGAUGGAAACGCAAGCUAGAAAAAGGAACAAACAGAUACACACUCGAGAAGAUUUUUUGCAGCACUGCACGCCAGCGCCCACAGCACAUGUAUUCUCUUCACCACGUGCUAACAAACGCUGAUUACAAGUCUUUAAAUAAACACACUCACGCACCACGUCCGGCUGCACGAUUCGGCCGAGCACUCCGUGGCUUGACCACUAAUCCACCUCCCUACAUGCAAGCCACAACUACCUGCAUGCUGGGCACCACUAACCAACACGCUAACAACUCUUCCAACAGCGAGCACUGAUCCAGUCCACCGACGAUGCAUGCGCCCAUGCAAUUUGACUGACCUCCUCUUCUUGCUCCUGAACUAGCGCCACGACUUGACCAAGCACCUGGCCGCACAUACCUGGAAUGCUAACUCCAACAACACACACGUACACAGCAUAGCUACCGAUCUGCUUGCACUUGCAUAUCCUAGCCACUACGCCAUGCUGCACACAAUCACGAACACAACUAAUAUGGACUCAACGCUACACUAAAACACAAACGAAUACGUACAACAAGAUUAAGUCUAACAAUCAUGUUCGCACGGCCGCCGUUCGUUGUGCUGUGUGGCACCGGCCACCGGGAGCUCCAUGGCACAUGGGCAUGGCAGCCGCGGCGUCCGCCUUCCUCUCUCUCGUGUCGUCCAACCUUCUUCGCGUUCAGGAACGGGCUAGCUUACGAGAGGGAGGAAAGCUCAGGCCAGCGGGGCGCGGAUGCUAUCUGCGCGCAGAUGCGGGGCCUGAAGGCAGGCUCGGGCCUCGGGGUAGAGCCGCCAUGGCCAGCCAUCGCGAGGUCCUGGCCAGGUCGGCGAGAUGUUUUGCAAAAAUCCCCCUCAAAUGGAUCGCGACUAUUAAUCGCGAUCCAAAUAUUUUUAUAAAACCCCUAAAAUGGAUCGCAAUUAAUAAUCGCGAUCCAAAUAAUUACAAAACACUCCUGUUUUUUUACAAAUAUACCCUCCUUUUGGCUGCAAUUCCUCCGUGCUCUCUUCCCCUUCCGCUCCGGCGACGGCGGCGGCGGCUCAUCGCGAUGGAACUGGCUUCAGACCCACUGCCUUCCCCUCCCCCCCACCCCUCCCGCUUAUCACUGGAUCUCGCCUGAUGCGUCCCUUUCCUCCGUCUCUCCACCAUAGCUCUGCAUCUUCUCGUCCCGCAGUCUUCGCCGUCGUCUGGCAGGGUGGGAGCCUGGGGGCGCCGUCACGGCGCCGAUCGCGAGUUCGUAGCGGCCAAUCAAAACAUUCUGAUCACUGAAUCAGUCGUAAAAUUUGAUCUACUGAAGCCCAAGAAAAUAACUGAAAAAGGCAACCAUGAGGUGCGCCAUGGGGACCUAGCUCUGGAGUUCAGAUCUUCAGACACUUCAUGCCGGACAUGCCCUAAAGUGCUUCUGUAGCAUCGGAACUUCAGAUUAGCAUGCUGGUGCUAAGUACUGCUUCAAUCGGCUCGAAACAAAACUACAGUGCGAACCAAAGAUCAACAUGAAUCUGUCAAAACAAAACGAACAGCGCCAGACAUGUUGGCAAAGCUACGCAAUUUGAGUGCACUUGGAUUGGGACAUUGGGUUAGCAUGUACAACAACCCAGGACACGAGUACAUGACAUCAAAAUCAUGACGUAAAUAGCAUACAACUGCUUGCUCUCGCUUCCCAUAAAUCGAAAGAACGAAAACAGAGAACCUCGAUUUUUUAUUAUGGAAAUGAUGUUCUGUACAAGCCUCUUUCUAAUUCACAACCUGUGGCGUGUGGCCCAUCCAAAUAGGCAAAGCAAAUAUGUGCACCGACCUCUCUACAUCUCCA